GGCUAAAUACUCCUUGGCAACCGAUAGUGAACUAGUACCGCGAGGGAAAGGCGAAAAGAACCCCUGUUAGGGGAGUGAAAUAGAUCCUGAAACCAUAUGCCUACAAUGUGUAGGAGCCGCGCGAGCGGUGACUGCUUGCCUUUUGCAUAAUGAGUCUGCGAGUUAUUGUCAGUGGCCAGCCUAAGGUGUUCUGCACCGGAGGCGAAGGGAAACCGAGUGCCAAUAGCGCGACCAAGUCGCUGGCAAUAGACCCGAAGCGGAGGUGAUCUACUCUUGAGCAGGUUGAAGUUGAGGUAACACUCAAUGAAGGACCGAACUCGUGGAUGUUGAAAAAUCCUGAGAUGACUUGAGAGUAGGAGCGAAAGACUAAUCAAACCCCGUGAUAGCUGGUUCUCUCCGAAAUCGCUUGAGGGCGAGUCUUAUGGAAGUACCCAGUAGAGGUAGAGCACUGAAUGGCUUAGGGGCCCCACCAGGCUGCCAAAACCAAUCAAACUCCGAAUUCUAUUGGUCUCAGUAUCAUAGGAAUCAGGCCGUAGGGGAUAAGCUUUACGGCCGAGAGGGCAACAGCCCAGACCAUCAGCUAAGGUGCCUAAAUGUGAUUAAGUGGAAAGGAUGUGACGUUGCUUAGACAGUGAGGAUGUUGGCUUAGAGGCAGCCAUCAUUUAAACAGUGCGUAAUAGCUGACUCAUCGAGCGAUGUCGCGCCGAAAAUGAUUGGCGAUUAAAUCACAUACCGAAGCUAUGGAUUCACGACCGGUUCGCCGGACGUGAGUGGUAGGAGAGCGUAAUCAACGCAGCGAAGCCGGACGGAAACGAACGGUGGAGCGUUGAUUAGUGAGAAUGCAGACACGAGUAGCGAUAAACCAGAUGAGAAUUCUGGUCGCCGUAAACCCAAGGUUUCCUGGGCCAGGUUCGUCCCCCCAGGGUUAGCCGGGAGCUAAGAUGAGGCCGUAAGGCGUAAUCGAUGCACAGCAGGUUAAAUAUUCCUGCGCCACCGACAUUUUACCAACAGGGACGCAUCAGAAAACAUCAACUAGGCAAUCGAAUGCUGAGCUUAGGCUUCGGCCGAAGCGUAUUGGUGGAGAAGGUGCCGAGAAAAGCUGUUGGGUAUACUAAGGUGCCCGUACCGUAAACCGACACAGGUGGGUGAGUGUAAGCGCACUCAGGCGCGCGAGAGAAACCUCUCUAAGGAACUCGGCACAUUAGCCCCGUAACUUCGGGAGAAGGGGUGCCCACUUCGGUGGGUCUCAGUAAAUUGCGUUUAGCGACUGUUUAACAAAAACACAGCACUCUGCAAAGUCGUCAAGACGACGUAUAGGGUGUGACACGUGACCAAUGCGGAAAGAUCAAACCAUGAGGUUAGCCGCAAGGCGAAGCUUCGUGGCCAAGUCCCCGUGAAUGUCGGCCGUAACUAUAACGGUCCUAAGGUAGCGAAAUUCCUUGUCGGGUAAGUUCCGACCUGCACGAAUGGCGUAACGACUUGGGCGCUGUCU
Molecule: ribosomal RNA, 1492 nt
Filed under: Paraglomus brasilianum
Lineage: Eukaryota; Fungi; Glomeromycota; Glomeromycetes; Paraglomerales; Paraglomeraceae
Description: bacterial LSU rRNA
Rfam family: Bacterial large subunit ribosomal RNA
Source: RNAcentral